Etheostoma spectabile (orangethroat darter) is the source of this 142-nucleotide long non-coding RNA. RefSeq lists it as uncharacterized. The record is from RefSeq and is a predicted model, not a curated record. NCBI's taxonomy places the organism in Eukaryota, Metazoa, Chordata, Actinopteri, Perciformes, Percidae. The transcript has 4 exons.
ACAUAACCUGUGACUUGACUUGACUUUCCUAAAAAAGAAUAACUCAAGACUUGCUGGAACCAAAUGAUUUGGGACUAACUUGGGACUUGAGCAAAGAGGACUUGGUCACAACGCUGCUAGGUCACCACUCCAUUUAUUAAAG